UCCGUAGGUGAACCUGCGGAGGGAUCAUUACCGAGUGAGGGCGCCCGCCCGACCUCCAACCCCAUGUUUUCCAACCAUGUUGCCUCGGGGGCGACCCGGCCGCCGUGCCGGGGCCCCCGGCGGACCCCUCAACUCUGCAUCUUUGCGUCUGAGUGAUAACGAAAAAUCAAUCAAAACUUUCAACAACGGAUCUCUUGGUUCUGGCAUCGAUGAAGAACGCAGCGAAAUGCGAUAAGUAAUGUGAAUUGCAGAAUUCAGUGAAUCAUCGAAUCUUUGAACGCACAUUGCGCCCUCUGGUAUUCCGGAGGGCAUGCCUGUUCGAGCGUCAUUACACCCCUCCAGCCUCGCUGGGUGUUGGGCAUCGCGGCCUCCGCGCGCCUCAAUGUCUCCGGCCGAGCCGACCGUCUCUAAGCGUUGUGGCACAACUGUUUCGCUUCCGGGACCGGUCCGGCGUCGCGCCGUCAACCCCCUCUCUCACAGGUUGACCUCGGAUCAGGUAGGGAUACCCGCUGAACUUAAGCAUAUCAAUAAGCGGAGGA
This is a ribosomal RNA of 539 nucleotides. The stretch from base 175 to 328 matches the Rfam family "5.8S ribosomal RNA".